GAGGGGCAUCAUGAUCUAGCAAUAGAUAGAUGGCGACCGGCGCACGGGUGAGUAACACGUAUCCAACCUUCCGUUAACUCGGGGAUAGCCUUUCGAAAGAAAGAUUAAUACCCGAUAGUAUAGCAAUUCCUCAUGGUUUUGCUAUUAAAGAAUUUCGGUUAUCGAUGGGGAUGCGUUCCAUUAGUUUGUUGGCGGGGUAACGGCCCACCAAGACUACGAUGGAUAGGGGUUCUGAGAGGAAGGUCCCCCACAUUGGAACUGAGACACGGUCCAAACUCCUACGGGAGGCAGCAGUGAGGAAUAUUGGUCAAUGGACGAGAGUCUGAACCAGCCAAGUAGCGUGAAGGAUGAAGGCUCUAUGGGUCGUAAACUUCUUUUAUAUGGGAAUAAAGUGAUCCACGUGUGGAUUUUUGUAUGUACCAUAUGAAUAAGGAUCGGCUAACUCCGUGCCAGCAGCCGCGGUAAUACGGAGGAUCCGAGCGUUAUCCGGAUUUAUUGGGUUUAAAGGGAGCGUAGGCGGAUAGUUAAGUCAGUUGUGAAAGUUUGCGGCUCAACCGUAAAAUUGCAGUUGAUACUGGGUGUCUUGAGUACAGUAGAGGUGGGCGGAAUUCGUGGUUAGC
Molecule: ribosomal RNA, 620 nt
Filed under: uncultured Bacteroides sp.
Lineage: Bacteria; Pseudomonadati; Bacteroidota; Bacteroidia; Bacteroidales; Bacteroidaceae
Description: bacterial SSU rRNA
Rfam family: Bacterial small subunit ribosomal RNA
Source: RNAcentral